This 245-nucleotide ribosomal RNA is filed under the name uncultured bacterium. RNAcentral's name for it is "partial 16S ribosomal RNA". It matches the Rfam family "Bacterial small subunit ribosomal RNA", at positions 528 to 772 of the family's 1533-position model. The record is from RNAcentral.
UAGGAGGCAAGCGUUAUCCGGAAUGACUGGGCGUAAAGGGUGCGUAGGUGGUUUAGCAAGUUAGUAGCGUAAUUCCGGGGCUCAACUCCGGAACUACUACUAAAACUGUUGGACUUGAGUGCAGGAGGGGCAACUGGAAUUUCUAGUGUAGCGGUGGAAUGCGUAGAUAUUAGGAAGAACACCGGUGGCGAAGGCGAGUUGCUGGACUGUAACUGACACUGAGGCACGAAAGCGUGGGGAGCAAA